UAUGCGCCCCGGCUCUGUCUUGCUAAUUAGACUUAAGAGCCCCUCCAGCCUCAGUGCUUGGUCGGCGGAGACACCUACUGAGGGGAGGCGCUCCUCCUCCCCGCAAAGUCAAACCACCCGGUCCUGCCUUCGCUUUCCAGGCUCGAUGUGGGCGUAUUUAUAUGUAUAUAUAUAUAUUUUUUUUCCCCCCGCUCGGCCACAGCAGCAUCAGUUGGGGUUCCCGAAGGUCAGAAAAUGGCUAUUGAUUAAUCUAUUAGAAUAGUUGCCGAGAGAAAUAAAAAAGACGUAAAAUAACAGGGAACCUAUAAAUAAAGAAGCCCUAACUAGCUGCUCGGAGUUGUUAAACGACUUAGCAUGUGAAAAAGUCGGAAAUGAGGCGCUGGGGAAGGAGCCGGGAUUGUCAGCGGCCUGGGUAAGUCGAGUGGGGCCGGGAAGAGGCUUCGGGCCUCUAGGUUAGACGCCGCGCCCAGGUUGCGAGGGCAGACAACGCGGGGAGCGGGUGGUGUGACUUCGCAGGCGCCCAGGCCCAGCCUCCUGGGAGCGGGGCCGGCCCCGAGCUUGCCAGCGGGCUAGGCUCUUACUGCUGCUAACUAACGUGGAUUCUUUUUCCUCAGGGCAUAGACAAAUCUCCAAGAUUUAACUUCCUCAGAAACCGGCAACAGAGGAGGUGGAGGAGGAUGCGGCCAGUGAGCACCGAGUUUCUUUGGCAAGGAAAGUCAGUGAUGCUGCACCGCUUUGUGGCCCGCAGGCUCCGAACCGUUUACAAUACCACCUAGACAGCUUCCAGCGAAACCGACCGGAGCGGCGAGCUGGCUGCCCACCGAUCCCCCCGGCAGCGUUGGUCCCGGCUGCAACUGUCCCAGUAAACCAAUAAUUACAAAAGGAAGGUCGGAAGGACACGAAAAAGAAAGCGAAAUUCGCAAAUUCACAAAUUCCUUUUGCUCAGCUUCGGUUGUAGAGCCCCAGAGGCAGGCGCGGGCCGCAGCAGGAGCCCUACCGCAGCCUAGGAGGCUGGGCCCGCGUGGACGCGUGCGCGCGCGUGUGUGUGUGUGCGUGCGGGAGGGUGACGGCUCCAGGGGCUGCCCUCCGCAGUGUUCUUGAAGUAUCCUCCAAAUGAGCCUAAUUUCGAUUUCUUUGCCCGUCAGGGCUGGCUCUCAGGACUCCCUCGGCGCCGCUGUUUCUGCCUCUCAGCCCCCCUCGGCCAAGACCUGGCCCAAUCCGUCCACUCCCCGGUGUCUCUGGAACCUCCCUGGGGGAAGGGGUGGGAGGUGAACAGCUCCCAGCCGCCAGUUCCAUUUGUUGCGCUUUUAUUCUUCGACACAAUAAAAGUCAAAUUAA
Long non-coding RNA from Lagenorhynchus albirostris (white-beaked dolphin), 1338 nucleotides. RefSeq lists it as uncharacterized. NCBI's taxonomy places the organism in Eukaryota, Metazoa, Chordata, Mammalia, Artiodactyla, Delphinidae. The transcript has 2 exons. The record is from RefSeq and is a predicted model, not a curated record.